Molecule: unclassified non-coding RNA, 1211 nt
Filed under: Zea mays
Lineage: Eukaryota; Viridiplantae; Streptophyta; Magnoliopsida; Poales; Poaceae
Description: misc RNA Zm00001eb218800
Source: RNAcentral
CCCAGAAGGAGAAGCGAUCGGCCCCAAAAGAAGUGGAAGAAAGAAUUGCUCCAAGACCACGGCAGCUUUAAAGGCCGCCGGCUGCCUCUCUCGAGUCCCACCAUUGGCAGUCUAAUCGCCUAUCGACUUCACGUCUCUCCGCCAGACCACCACUACCCCGUCUAUCUCUGGUCUGGUCCCAAGUCCCAAUUAGUCGGAGCCUCCUGCCCUCCUCGACCGCUCAAGCCAAGAACCAGAAGCCAUGGAGACGGCGGCGCCGGCGCCGGCGCCGUGGGCGGAAAUGGAGAUGGACUGCAUGGUGCAAGUGUUCGUGCGCCUCGACCUCGAGGACCUGGCGGCGGCGGCCCCGCUCGUGUGCCGGAGCUGGCGCCGGGCCGCCGCCGACCCGUCCCUGUGGCGCGCGCUCGACCUGCGCCGGGACCACGUCGCGCGCUUCAUGCCCUGGGGAGCGCUCGCCGCCGCCUUCGCGCGCCACUACGCUGUGCGCAGGUUCUCCGUCGCGGGCUUCCUCAGGCUCUGCGUGUCGCGCGCGCGCGGGUACGCCGACGACGUCGCGCUCCCGCCGCUCCUCGCCGAGCCGGCGGACGAGAUCGACCACAUUUCCCUCCACUGUCCCAGGCUGCGGCGCCUGGCGCUCCCGCAGCUGACGGCCAGCGACGAGGCGCGCCUGCCGGACAUCGUCCCGCGGUGGCCGCUGCUGGAGCACCUGGAGCUGGAGGCCAAGCCAUCCUCCUCCUCUUUCCCCGCGCUCGCCGCGCAGCUCGCUCUGCACUGCCCGGGCUUCGCCAGCCUCAAGACCUCCGGGGCCGUCAAGCCCGAGGACGCCGCGGCGCUGGCGCGCUCCCUGCCCAGGCUCCGGUCCCUGUGCCUCGACCGCUCCUACCUGCCCAAGGAACAGUUCCUCUCCAUCCUCGCCGCCUGCAGGGACCUACGGGAGUUCAGCGCGCGCUGCUGCGUCGGCUUCGACGACAAGGACGAGGAGGUGCUCAGACGAGGGGCCAGGAUCCAGCGGUUCGACGUAGAAGGGUCCAAGCUAAUGGACGACCUGGAGGACGAGUUCGCCGCCGGUGACGGUUUCUGCGAUUCGGCCUACGUUGACGUGAUGUGAUAUUAAACUAAAUUAAAUAAUUACUAUUCUCAUAUUAAAUACUUUGAUAUAUCUGUGCCAUCUGGAAUAAUUAGUUAAAAUAAAUACACUACAUAUCUACUUC